Molecule: long non-coding RNA, 1428 nt
Filed under: Anas platyrhynchos platyrhynchos (common mallard)
Lineage: Eukaryota; Metazoa; Chordata; Aves; Anseriformes; Anatidae
Description: lncRNA (ENSAPLG00000027984.1)
Source: RNAcentral
AUGGCCGCCCCCACCCCCAAAAUUAUAGGGGCUGCUUUAAAGCACCGUGCUGGGACACCCCCAACGCUGGGUGCUCCUGGGAGGGAACCUCAAAGACAUCCCAGGGGUGUCCCAAAAGCCGGGGGGGCACCAAAGCACACUAGGGAUGGCUGUGGGCACCCCAGAGCCCCCCCCGAGGGGGUCCCUAAAGCACAGGCACUGCUGGGGGCGCCACACCAAAGCCACCCUGGGGGAAACCCUAAAGGAAGGAGCACCCCAAAGCCAUAUGGGGGGGGACCCCAAAAGCACAGGCACUGCCGGGGCGGUCCCAAAACCAUUCCGGGAAAUCCCCCAAACCACGGGGGGGCUCCCCAAAACCCCGGGAGCGCUCCCCCAAAUCCCGGGGUCUCGCUGCGGGGCGCACCCCAAAUCCAUGGCGGGGGUGAAGCAGCACGGGGGCAUCCCAAACCCUUCCCGGAUCCCCCCCCCAGGGCCCGGGGGCACUCACAUGUCCUUGGCGGGCAGGUCCCUGCCCUCCACGAUGCGCACGGCCAGGGCGCUGCGCAGCGCCAUGGGGGCGGCGGCACCGCGCGGACACGGCGGGACUCGAACCCGCGGCCCCUCCGCACGCAGCACAUGUGCCGGCCGGCACCGCGGGCAGCCAAUCAGAGCGCGGGGCGGGGACAGGGGGCGGGGCCUGCGGGGAGGUGGGCGGGGCCUGGGAGGAGGUGGGCGGGGCCUGUGGGGUGUGGGCGGGGCGAGGCGCGCAGGGGGGCGGGGCCCAACCCCCGGGUUUCGCCUGGGUUGGGGUUUUCCUUUUUUUUCCCUUUUUUUCUUUUUUUCUUUCUUUCCUUUGUUUGUUCUUUCCCUUUCUUUCCUUUUUUUCCAUUCCCCCCUCUUUUCCCCCGUUUUUUUCACUUUUUUCCUCUUUUCCCUCUUUUUUCCCUUUCUUUCCUUUUUUCCCCCUUUUCCCCCCUUUUCUUUUUCCCAUUCUUCCCCUCUUUUACUUUUCCUUUUUUCCCCUUCUUUUCUUUUCCCCCUUCCCUUCUUUCAUUUUUUCCCUUUUUUCCUUUUCUUUCUUUUUUAUUUUCUUUCCCUCUUUUCCCCCUUUUAUUUUUCCUUUUUUUCCCCAUCUUUUCUUUUCCCCCUUCCUUUCUUUAUUUUUUUUUCCUCUCCUUUUCUUUCUAUUUUCUUUCCUUUUUUUCCCCCUUUUCUUUUUCCCUCCUUUAUUUUUCCUUUUUUUCCCCUCUUUUCUUUUCCCCUUUCCCUUCUUUCAUUUUUCCCCUUUUUUCCUUUUAUUUCUUUCUUUCUUUUUCUUUUUUCUUUUUUUAUUUUUCUUUCCCUUUUCCCCUUUGUUCUUCCUUUUUUUUUCCUUUUUUUUCCUUUUUUUUUUUUGGCAGGUUGGGGCUGUGCCCGUGGUGUCACGAGGGGGUAGGCUCGGUGCACUGA